This is a small nucleolar RNA of Jaculus jaculus (lesser Egyptian jerboa), 104 nucleotides long. RefSeq annotates it as small nucleolar RNA U13. The transcript has a single exon. The record is from RefSeq and is a predicted model, not a curated record. NCBI's taxonomy places the organism in Eukaryota, Metazoa, Chordata, Mammalia, Rodentia, Dipodidae.
AUCCUUUUAUUGGUUCAUAAGCAUGAUGAUUGGGUGUCCACGCACUUGCAUGACAUGUGCCUCCCAGAAGCCUUCUUAUAUGACAGCACAUUACCCAUCUGGCA